RNAcentral lists this ribosomal RNA (279 nucleotides) under uncultured bacterium. RNAcentral describes it as "partial 16S ribosomal RNA". It matches the Rfam family "Bacterial small subunit ribosomal RNA", at positions 506 to 784 of the family's 1533-position model. The record is from RNAcentral.
UGCCAGCCGCCGCGGUAAUACGGAGGGGGCUAGCGUUGUUCAGAAUUACUGGGCGUAAAGGGCGCGUAGGCGGCGCGAACAGUCAGGCGUGAAAGCCCCGGGCUUAACCUGGGAACUGCGUUUGAUACUGUCGCGCUAGAGAUCGGGAGAGGGUAGUGGAAUUCCCAGUGUAGAGGUGAAAUUCGUAGAUAUUGGGAAGAACACCAGUGGCGAAGGCGGCUACCUGGACCGAUUCUGACGCUGAGGCGCGAAAGCGUAGGGAGCAAACAGGAUUAGAUA